RNAcentral lists this long non-coding RNA (4237 nucleotides) under Homo sapiens (human). RNAcentral describes it as "NCAM1 antisense RNA 1". Lineage: Eukaryota; Metazoa; Chordata; Mammalia; Primates; Hominidae. The record is from RNAcentral.
AGUGGCCUGACUGCAAGGGCUCCCCCAGGGAAAACAGAAGCCGCUGCUAGGAUGAUAAGGAUAAAACAUAAUUAACAUGGCCUAAUUAGCCAGCAGGCGGCUGCUCCUGGGGCCCAGCUGCCUGUCCUGCUCUCUCUGCCUUAUCCCAGCCCCUUGGUUGACGGUCGCCUCAGAGAAGCCCUGGAUGAGGCUGAAGACACAUCUAACAAGGAGGACACAGCACAGCACAAAUGCACACCACCACAGGACACAACCCGAUGACAGCAGACAAAGAGAGGCCGUACUCGGUCUUUGCUGGCGCAGGCGAAACAGAGCUGUCUGCAGUGGAAGGAGCAAGCUCAGGGGCUUGUCCACUGGCCCCAGCGGCGGGAGCAGGAGAGCCCAGGGCUGCAAAAACAUCCUUUGCAAGGGUUCCAAAUGGAGAACGUGCAAUGAAAGGAAAGGCACCAGCUGAUGGCGCAGGGUGGUGCAGCUGCUGGGUCCCUGGGCUGGAGCAGAGCCCAAACCUCAGCAAGGUGGACAGGUCUGCACUCACGAGAAGGCGGCCUUGCCCUCCUCCAUGUCCUUGCCCUUGGCCCCGGGCCCGGCUUUUCCACACAGGUUGACCGCAAUGCACAUGAACAGGCCACACUUGUUCAGGAAGUAGCAGGUGAUGUCCACAACCACCAGGAGCAGGACGAAGAUGACGAUGAGGAUGCCCACGAUGGCCCCGGUGCUCAGGCCUGAGGAAUGACCCCAAAGGAGCCCUGCAUUAGAGCACACUGGGUUCAUAGUUUACCCUCCUCACUGCACCCCAGGAAGACAAGUGAAGCCUGGGUGACUCCAGAGACAUGGAGGCCUCCCCAGGCCAUGGGCAAGGUGAAAGGUCUGGGAAUACUCACCAUCUAGGAGCUCAGGCCUGCUUGGACCAGACUUCAGGAAAACCUGAAGUGAGUGCAGACUCACUCAGAGGUGCACACACACACAGGCACACUCACACGCAGGAUAAAUGCCCAUGCAGACAGGCAUGCACUCUCACAUUCUAGCACCUGGCACCCUGGUUCUGGCUGGACUCACUGUGAAAGACUCAGCCUGUGUCUUACUUCCCUGGUGCCCAUCUGCAAUCCCCCCAGGGUCUUUGGCUAUUGAUGGUUUCACAGAGAGACCUGGACUCAGCUCUCUGGGGCCCCUGGGAGAUCAACCCAUGGUUACGAUUGACACUAGUUGCCUGGGAUGGACCAAUUGACCUCUUGGUGGUUCCCAUCAGUGUCUGGGAGACAGUGGUCAUGAUGCAGGAAGCAAGGACCCAUGUGGAGCUCUGCCAUUAAGUCGAUGUGGGAACAAUCACCCUCGACUGAAAUAUGGGCACUUCUAAUUCAUCUUUCCUCCAGAACAACCUGCUUCCAUAACUGGCAGCCCUGCCCCACCAGUAGACUAUGUCUAAAGCUUCCUGUGCUCUCAGGGCCAACUGAAGCCACCCAGGACUGCAGACUGAAGAUGGGAACUGUAGCCAGCACUACCUGGGGCUCACCCCACCAGCCACCCCACUCCCAACCCAGCUCGCUAGGCUUUGCCAAGCACCAGGCCAGGCUCAGCAGCUUGCGAGCCAUGUAACAUGCCAGAUAGAUAGUGGAGGGAACAUGUAACUGAGUAACCAGCACCAGAGCUGGGCCACACAUUUUUUGUUUUUCAUGCAGCCUGUAUUUGCGGGAGGGUGGUGGUAUUGAUGGCUCUGUGUGCCCCAGGGGUCUCUGUCCAGGCACUCUAGUGCUUCUCUGGUGGCUGUCCCUCUCCACUGGUCCAUAUUUCAAACUUCAGUUUGGGGAAUGGGCCAUCAGCCUAGCAUGCCAGAGAGGAUCCCUCACAAAUGACUCCUGAGACCCCUGGGUGCAGCUCGUACAUGUUUUUAGUCCCUUUGGGACCUUGGCUUGCCUCCCAGCCCUUCCUCCUCAGGCUCUCUGGCUGGUCCCUGCUGACCUCGCACUGAAGAUCCUAGCGCAUUCCCCCAGGAAGGCUUGAGAUGGCGAAGAACUCUGCUUGGAGAACCCAGCUCUGGACACCUGUCUCUGGGCUUUGGCAGCAGGAAGCUGGCCACUGGCCUUAGCCGUCAGCUAGAAUGGGUCAUUUUCUUAGCAGCCAUGAAUGCAGAGGUAUUUCUGGUUAGUCUCAUAAGAACAAAACCAUCCACUUCCCCAGAGUCCUCACACAUUCCACCCAAAAAGCAAAGGAGACACAGGCCUUCUUGGUCUUCAGGAUCCCAUAGCUGUUUCCCUGAACAGGGAAGAAACUUUAGCCUUGGGUUUUCUCUCCAUUCCAUGACACAGGGCUCCAGGCCACUGCAGCUUCCGGACAUCAGUACCCGAUAGGUGUAAAGUGCCUACUCCCUGAAGAAAGAUCUGAAAGUAUUUUUUUGAUGACAGUGGGGAAUAUGUCUGGAUUUUUGGACUCAAUGGCACUAAUUAUAUCUUCUGAGGUUUAUGUGUAAAUAUGAUUUUGUGAAACUAAUCAUAUCUCUAAAGAGGAAAAAUAAACUCCUGCAAAGCUGCUCUAUGUGCUUGAGAGGACAGCAGCUGGGACAACUGCUCUGUGCUCAUCAGACCCAGCUGGAGGGCGGCACUGGCACUGCGCACAUCCAGGGGAGGGCCAGGCAGGGAAAAGGCUUCUGAACUGUGGCAUAAACAAGUAGGGCAGCGGCCUCCCCUUUCAUUUGAAUAUAAAAUUCAAAGUCUUUCUCCCGGCCUAAAAGGCCCACCAUCUGCUGCAGACUCUGCCCACUCCUCUGUUGGGCCUCAUGGCGUGAACCGGCAGCCUCCCUUCUGCCUGCUGAACACAUCCAGCUCAACCCGCUUUAGGGCCUUGAUGAUUCUGUGCCUGGAACACUCCCUCCAGGGUGGCUCUCUGUUGUCCUGCAGGCCUCAGUCCCAGUGUCACCUUCUCAGAGAAGCCUUAUCUGAUCUCUUAUCUAGUGUGGCACCUCCAGCCAAUACCUACCAUGCUGCUAGCCUGUUUUAUUCUCUUCUAACUACUAUCUGCCACUUUCUGUUCAUUUACAUGCUUAUGAUCUAGCCAUCCCCCCUAGGACAUCCCAGCAGGUACCCUGCCUGUCUCUCUUGUAUCUCCCCAGCAUCUAGGACAAUCCUGAUUCACAGAAAAUGUUCAAAGAAUACUUGUUGCACAAAUGGAUGAGUGUUUAGUCUGGAGACGAGAAUACUAUUUCCAAAUAUUUAAAGGUGUUAUAACCAGAAGGAAGAAGUAGUCUUACUGUAUAUGGCACCAAUGUGUGGAAAUUAUGGUGGUGGCAGAUUUUAGCUCCAUCUGAGAAAGGACUAAUAAACAGGGCGAAUCCAACAUAGUGUGGGCUGCUCUGAGAGGUGAGUUCCUUGAUGCUGAAGGCACUCGAGCAGAGGCCAGAAGACCCCUUGGCAGGGACGCUGUAAGGCUGUGGAUGAGGCUCCCACACUGGGCAGGAGCAUGGGUGGAGAGUGUCUCUUCAACCACAAGAGCCUGUCAUUCCAAGUCAUACAUUCUACACUGCCUGGCACACGGUACAGGUUCCCUAAUGCCAGUCUCCAGAGUGUGGACUGAGAAAGACUUUUUCCUGGAAGACCAAAAUGCUCGGUAGGUCCCAUAUUUAAUCACUGAUCCUUGUGAUUUUAUUUUUGCAUGACAAAUACCUUUAAACUCAAUAUAUCUCCACCUGUAGCAAAUUCCUAGGGUGUUUGUUAACAAUUCAGAAUCUGGGGCUCCCCACUUUUAUGGGAUCUGAAUCACUGGGUAUGAGGCUCAGGAAACAGGAGUUGAACAAGCAGCCCAGGUGAUUCUUAUGAGGACCACGCUCCUAGGUCUUCCCUCCCCUGCAUUACAAAGAGGAGCACGUGAUCCCAUGAUUUGCCACCCCAGGGUGCACUGUGCUGUCUCACCCAGUGACCCUGAAAACAAACUUGACCUAAGGUAUUGAGUGGAUCAAGAGAAAACAAAGAGUAUGCCCCAAAGGAAAAGCGACCAUACUGUAUGCCAACACUGAGUCUAAACUCCUCAAGCAGGUGAGAUGCUCUUUAAGCUAGGAAGAGAAUGUUUGUGGCUUUUACAAAAAAGAGGCUGUGAAGAAGGGACAGGCUGUGAAAUGGGCAGCAGGGUAUUGAAGGCGAAAGCCAACACCCAUUCCCUCUCAGUGGCUAUCACAGAAUUGUUUAGUCCAAGAUAACUAGAAGAACAAAGGCCAUCUCCUGCCUCUUGUGUAAUAUUUCAUAAAAGGAAA